GUUUAGACGGGCUCACAUCACCCCAUAAACA
Molecule: non-coding RNA, 31 nt
Filed under: Homo sapiens (human)
Lineage: Eukaryota; Metazoa; Chordata; Mammalia; Primates; Hominidae
Source: RNAcentral